ACCCUUGUGGAGGAGGACGCCGAAGGUGGGGCUAAUGACUGGGGUGAAGUCGUAACAAGGUAGCCGUACCGGAAGGUGCGGCUGGAUCACCUCCUAACAGGGAGACAACAAAAUGUUUAAUAUUAUUAUUUUGUCACCUUAGGUCGAUCGGUAUCUCACGUUUUUAAUUUAUUAAGAAUUUCAUUUCCUAAGUUUUUCUAGGUCACACCCAUUAUUUUUCCUGGGCCAUUAGCUCAGGUGGUUAGAGCGCACCCCUGAUAAGGGUGAGGUCCCUGGUUCAAGUCCAGGAUGGCCCAUAUCUCUAUGUUGGGGGUAUAGCUCAGUUGGUAGAGCGCCUGCUUUGCAAGCAGGAUGUCAGCGGUUCGAGUCCGCUUACCUCCACUGAUCACCACCUCUUCCAUAAUUGGUAGAAAGGAAAUUUUUUGAGUUGUGAUCAAAUUCUGAAAGAAUCUAGCUUCCUAAUGAAAUCAUUAAGAUGCUGGACUCAUUGAAUUAAUUUCAUUGUUUUCAGAGAACCUUGACAACUGCAUAGAUUAUUUUUAAAGACAAUAAGCAUCUUUAAUGAUGCAGAUUUAUUAUUUGUGCAAAUGCAUUAAUAACAAUUCUAUUAAGCUGAUGCUUCAAAAUUUGAAGUUAUUGGUCAAGCUACAAAGGGCUCACGGAGGAUACCUAGGCACACAGA
This 682-nucleotide unclassified non-coding RNA is filed under the name uncultured Prochlorococcus sp. RNAcentral's name for it is "partial may contain 16S ribosomal RNA, 16S-23S ribosomal RNA intergenic spacer, and 23S ribosomal RNA". The stretch from base 1 to 97 matches the Rfam family "Bacterial small subunit ribosomal RNA", at positions 1437 to 1533 of the family's 1533-position model. Lineage: Bacteria; Bacillati; Cyanobacteriota; Cyanophyceae; Synechococcales; Prochlorococcaceae. The record is from RNAcentral.